Molecule: ribosomal RNA, 253 nt
Filed under: uncultured bacterium
Lineage: Bacteria
Description: partial 16S ribosomal RNA
Rfam family: Bacterial small subunit ribosomal RNA
Source: RNAcentral
CACGGGGGGAGCAAGCGUUGUUCGGAAUCACUGGGCGUAAAGGGCGUGUAGGCGGUCAAGUAAGUGGAAUGUGAAAUACCCCGGCUCACCCGGGGAACGGCAUCCCAUACUGCUUGGCUUGAGUACGGGAGAGGAUGUGGGAAUUCCUGGUGUAGCGGUGAAAUGCGUAGAUAUCAGGAGGAACACCGGUGGCGAAGGCGCACAUCUGGCCCGAUACUGACGCUGAGGCGCGAAAGCUAGGGGAGCAAACGGG